UACGUAGGGGGCAAGCGUUGUCCGGAAUCAUUGGGCGUAAAGCGCGUGUAGGCGGCCCGGUAAGUCCGCUGUGAAAGUCGGGGGCUCAACCCUCGAAUGCCGGUGGAUACUGUCGGGCUAGAGUGCGGGAGAGGCGAGUGGAAUUCCUGGUGUAGCGGUGGAAUGCGCAGAUAUCAGGAGGAACACCGAUGGCGAAGGCAGCUCGCUGGGACGGUACUGACGCUGAGGCGCGAAAGCGUGGGGAGCGAACAGG
Molecule: ribosomal RNA, 253 nt
Filed under: uncultured bacterium
Lineage: Bacteria
Description: partial 16S ribosomal RNA
Rfam family: Bacterial small subunit ribosomal RNA
Source: RNAcentral